CCGCGGUAAUUCCAGCUCCAAUAGCGUAUAUUUAAGUUGUUGCAGUUAAAAAGCUCGUAGUUGGAUUUCGGGUGGGUUCCAGCGGUCUGCCUCUGGUAUGUACUGCUGUGGCCUACCUUUCUGCCGGGGACGUGUUCCUGGGCUUCAUUGUCCGGGACUCGAAUUCGGCGAGGAUACUUUGAGUAAAACAGCGUGUUCAAAGCAAGCCUACGCUCUGAAUGCAUUAGCAUGGAAUAUCACGAUAGGACUCUGGCCUAUCUUGUUGGUCUGUAGGACCGGAGUAAUGAUUAAGAGGGACAGUCGGGGGCAUUCGUAUUUCAUUGUCAGAGGUGAAAUUCUUGGAUUUAUGAAAGACGAACUUCUGCGAAAGCAUUUGCCAAGGAUGUUUUCAUUAAUCAAGAACGAAAGUUGGGGGCUCGAAGACGAUUAGAUACCGUCGUAGUCUCAACCAUAAACGAGGAAUGCCGACUAGGGAUUGGCAGGUGUUUUAUUGAUGACCCUGCCA
Molecule: ribosomal RNA, 505 nt
Filed under: Haematococcus lacustris
Lineage: Eukaryota; Viridiplantae; Chlorophyta; Chlorophyceae; Chlamydomonadales; Haematococcaceae
Description: SSU rRNA
Rfam family: Eukaryotic small subunit ribosomal RNA
Source: RNAcentral